Molecule: long non-coding RNA, 573 nt
Filed under: Triticum aestivum (bread wheat)
Lineage: Eukaryota; Viridiplantae; Streptophyta; Magnoliopsida; Poales; Poaceae
Description: long non-coding RNA (TAES_LNC024798)
Source: RNAcentral
CAUCUACCUGGCCCUUUUGUUGAUAAAUCCAUUGCGCAAUGGUAAGCUUCUUGUGGCUCCGCUUUGAACUAGUGAGACAUGUUGUAUCUGCAUGAAUUUGGUCCAUCUUAAUAGUAUGGAAUGCCUUUACAACAAUAUAUGUGAUCCUUGACUAGUUAGUUUCUAGAAUGCUAGUCCGUAUGGAAUCUUUUUUAUAUCUUUUUUAAUGCGAGUCAGCACCAAUCCUUGACAGGGUGACCGUGGAAGGGAUGGAAGUUCAUAUUGCUGUUUGUAAUGAAGGUCACAGCCUAAUCCUGACUAUGGUCGUCUAGUGAGUAUGGCAUAUGGUUCAUAUGACAGGAGCAUGUGCCCAGUUUGUGAUCGCUAUUGACAGGAGCUCCAUUCUGAAGAAGAUUGAAGACAAUUGUGGAGUUGUAAAUUACUGUAGCUAGCUAUCACACUUGUAGAGCUUGUAAUAUUGUGAUUCCAAUUGUAUUACGUGUUAUUGGUAGAGCAAGAGCUCCAUACUGAUUCUGGCUGUUAUUAUUUGAAGUAUUACAUGUGUUUUCUGUCUGUUUGAAUUUAAAUAUUUGU